GACGAACGCUGGCGGCGUGCUUAACACAUGCAAGUCGAACGGAAAGGCCCUGCUUUUGUGGGGUGCUCGAGUUGCGAACGGGUGAGUAACACGUGAGUAACCUGCCCUUGACUUUGGGAUAACUUCAGGAAACUGGGGCUAAUACCGGAUAGGAGCUCCUGCUGCAUGGUGGGGGUUGGAAAGUUUCGGCGGUUGGGGAUGGACUCGCGGCUUAUCAGCUUGUUGGUGGGGUAGUGGCUUACCAAGGCUUUGACGGGUAGCCGGGCUGAGAGGGUGACCGGCCAAACUGGGACUGAGAUACGGCACAGACUCCUACGGGAGGCAGCGGUGGGGAAUGUUGUACAAUGGGCGGAAGCAUGAUGCAGCAACGCAGCGUGCGGGAUGAGGGGCAGCGGGUUGUAAACCGCUUUCGCCUGUGACGAAGCGUGAGUGACGGUAAUGGGUAAAGAAGCACCGGCUAACUACGUG
RNAcentral lists this ribosomal RNA (468 nucleotides) under uncultured bacterium. Its description in RNAcentral is "partial 16S ribosomal RNA". It matches the Rfam family "Bacterial small subunit ribosomal RNA", at positions 28 to 507 of the family's 1533-position model. The record is from RNAcentral.